Molecule: long non-coding RNA, 995 nt
Filed under: Gossypium barbadense (sea-island cotton)
Lineage: Eukaryota; Viridiplantae; Streptophyta; Magnoliopsida; Malvales; Malvaceae
Description: long non-coding RNA (GBAR_LNC021568)
Source: RNAcentral
CAUUGGAAACAACAUGUUCAUGCGGGUAUUUUACAAACACAACAUUUAUGAUUUGCCCAAGGUUUAUCAUUCUCCUUGUCUUGUUUAUGUGUGCGUACUAUUAUUAGAGACUGAAAUAAAAAACACUCAAACAAGAAAAGUUGAUCAAAGAACAUUAAACCUCAUCAUUAUGCACUCGCAACCAAAAAUAAACAAUUCUAAGAUGCAAAGAAAAUAAGUUAAGAUGUUCUCCCUUGUAAUAUUUAAAGACUAAUUGUAAUAGGCCAUUUUAGCCUGGGCCCAAAUGCAUAAACCUGAAAAUAAAAAUACAAUAAAUUACAGACCCAAUUUUAAACCCAAUAACACCCCAACCCUAAGUAAACCCACUAGCCUAAAACACUAAACAGAAUCAAAGAACCCUAAGCAGUUAGCAGCAGCCGCCUUUGUCGUAGCAACCGUUCCACUGCCCACGUCGUUGCUCGCACGUUCAGCCCUUCACGCACGCACCUGCAAACUACGAAUAGCACUAAGAGGAUAUACACAGCAAAAAAAAUUGUAAAAAGGGGGGAAUUUCGGUUGUAUAAAGGGGGAAUGGAUUGAUGUAAAAAGGGGUUAGCAAAAUAUUGUAUUGAAAGAAAAGAAAUACGAGUAAAGAAUCAGAGGAGAAAAUUUUGGAAAGGUGAUCAGUUUUGUUUUUCUUUCCCCUGUUCUUUUUACUGUUUUUUUAUUUUAUUUUGGGGCUUUUCCUUUGAUUUUUAAAGCAAAAAUAAAAACGAAAGGGAAGGAAAAAGAGAGCUUACCGUUGAGUCGUCGUUGUGGCCGGUCGGAAAUGGGUCUGAAACGGUGGAAGGGAGAUGGCAACGGCGUGAUUUUAAAAUGGCAGAGGAGUUCUAUUUUUUUAGGGGUCUGAAAUGGGUUUUAUUGGCUACAAAUGAAAUGGGGUUUUAUUUAUGGGUUAUUUAUGUUUUUAAUCUUUUUUAUUUUUCCAUUAUUUCAAGAUCAUAGUCUUUAUUUUU